CUGGUUCUCAAGAAAAGAAUUUAAGUCCAACCUAAAGCAAACUAAAUCCACAUAAAUUUACCCGCCGCUUUAGAGCAAUUCAAAUGAGGUACAGCCCAUUUGACACAGGAUACAACCUUAACUAACGGGUAACAUUAAAUCUACACCUUCAGGUAGGCCUAAGAGCAGCCACCCCUCAAAAAGCGUCAAAGCUUAAUCAUGUUUACAUCAAUUUAAAAUUUUCCCCAUUGACCCCUUUAACAUUACUGAGAAUUUCUAUAUCAUAUAGAACAUUUUAUGCUAAAACUAGUAACAAGAGAAAACCCUCUCCCAAUGCAAACAUAGGCCAGCAAGAACCCAUCACUGGCAAUUAACAAACCUAAACAAAAGUAGCAACAUCACUAGAAAACCCUACUUCCCACAACUGUUAACCUAACACCAGAGCAUUCCAGGAAAGAUUAAAAGAAAAAGAAGGAACUCGGCAAACACCAACCUCGCCUGUUUACCAAAAACAUCGCCUCUUGUCCCUAUAAGAGGUCAAGCCUGCCCAGUGACUUUGUUCAACGGCCGCGGUAUCCUAACCGUGCGAAGGUAGCGUAAUCACUUGUUUUCUAAAUAAAGACCAGUAUGAAAGGCAUCACGAGGGUUAGACUGUCUCCUUUUUUUAAUCAGUGAACCUAAUCUCCCCGUGAAGAAGCGGGGAUUAUUCUAUAAGACGAGAAGACCCUAUGGAGCUUAAAACAUUAUAACAUCUGCCACCAAACUCUAACCACUCAGGUACCCCUAUCAAUAUGGCACUUUGAUUUUAUGUUUUCGGUUGGGGUGACCGCGGAGAAAAACUGAUCCUCCACGAUGAAUGGGAACCCCCCUAAACAACAAGCUACAUCUUUAUGUAUCAACAAAUUGACAUCCAUUGACCCAAUAAUUUGAUUAACGAACCAAGUUACCCUAGGGAUAACAGCGCAAUCCACUUUAAGAGCCCCUAUCGACAAGUGGGCUUACGACCUCGAUGUUGGAUCGGGGUACCCCAGUGGUGUAGUCGCUACUAAAGGUUCGUUUGUUCAACGAUUAAAACCCCACGUGAUCUGAGUUCAGACCGGAGUAAUCCAGGUCAGUUUCUAUCUAUAAAUGAGCUCUUUUCAGUACGAAAGGACCAAAAUAGCAUGGCCUAUACCCCAGCAAGCCAUAGUUAGUCAUUUUUAGGCCCCCCACUCAAAAAAUUACCAACCUUACCUUACACCUCAAAAAAAGAACA
RNAcentral lists this ribosomal RNA (1234 nucleotides) under Pristimantis jimenezi. RNAcentral describes it as "partial 16S ribosomal RNA". It matches the Rfam family "Bacterial large subunit ribosomal RNA", at positions 849 to 2925 of the family's 2925-position model. Lineage: Eukaryota; Metazoa; Chordata; Amphibia; Anura; Strabomantidae. The record is from RNAcentral.